This 241-nucleotide long non-coding RNA is filed under the name Ananas comosus (pineapple). Its description in RNAcentral is "long non-coding RNA (ACOM_LNC008257)". The record is from RNAcentral. Lineage: Eukaryota; Viridiplantae; Streptophyta; Magnoliopsida; Poales; Bromeliaceae.
UCAUAAUUUAUAACAAAACAAAAUUUUAAGAAUCAAAACUGACCCCUUUCUAAAGCAAGUGACAAAGGGCUUAGUGAUUGAUAUUCAAGAUCCCAAAUUCGAAUCCUAGUUGAUUCAUAUUUUCAACUAAGUUUAUUUCUAAAUGAAAUAAAUGAAGCAGCUAUCGUGCUAUCUAUCUCUCUCUAAAAAAAAAAAAUUUAAGAAUCAAAGCAUCACAAACCUCAUCAUUUAAGAACCAAAA